This 253-nucleotide ribosomal RNA is filed under the name uncultured bacterium. RNAcentral's name for it is "partial 16S ribosomal RNA". It matches the Rfam family "Bacterial small subunit ribosomal RNA", at positions 524 to 776 of the family's 1533-position model. The record is from RNAcentral.
UACGUAGGGGGCAAGCGUUGUCCGGAAUCAUUGGGCGUAAAGAGCGUGUAGGCGGCCCGGUAAGUCCGCUGUGAAAGUCCAGGGCUCAACCCUGGGAUGCCGGUGGAUACUGUCGGGCUCGAGUCCGGAAGAGGAGUGUGGAAUUCCUGGUGUAGCGGUGAAGUGCGCAGAUAUCAGGAGGAACACCAAUGGCGAAGGCAGCACUCUGGGACGUGACUGACGCUGAGACGCGAAAGCGUGGGGAGCAAACAGG